AUUGAACGCUGGCGGCAUGCUUUACACAUGCAAGUCGAACGGCAGCGCGGGGCAACCUGGCGGCGAGUGGCGAACGGGUGAGUAAUAUAUCGGAACGUACCCAAGAGUGGGGGAUAACGUAGCGAAAGUUACGCUAAUACCGCAUACGAUCUAAGGAUGAAAGUGGGGGAUCGCAAGACCUCAUGCUCCUGGUGCGGCCGAUAUCUGAUUAGCUAGUUGGUGAGGUAAAGGCUCACCAAGGCGACGAUCAGUAGCUGGUCUGAGAGGACGACCAGCCACACUGGAACUGAGACACGGUCCAGACUCCUACGGGAGGCAGCAGUGGGGAAUUUUGGACAAUGGGCGCAAGCCUGAUCCAGCAAUGCCGCGUGAGUGAAGAAGGCCUUCGGGUUGUAAAGCUCUUUUGUCAGGGAAGAAACGGUAGAGGCUAAUAUCCUUUGCUAAUGACGGUACCUGAAGAAUAAGCACCGGCUAACUACGUG
RNAcentral lists this ribosomal RNA (482 nucleotides) under uncultured bacterium. RNAcentral describes it as "partial 16S ribosomal RNA". It matches the Rfam family "Bacterial small subunit ribosomal RNA", at positions 30 to 507 of the family's 1533-position model. The record is from RNAcentral.